RNAcentral lists this ribosomal RNA (253 nucleotides) under uncultured Simkania sp. Its description in RNAcentral is "partial 16S ribosomal RNA". It matches the Rfam family "Bacterial small subunit ribosomal RNA", at positions 524 to 776 of the family's 1533-position model. Lineage: Bacteria; Pseudomonadati; Chlamydiota; Chlamydiia; Parachlamydiales; Simkaniaceae. The record is from RNAcentral.
UACGGAGAGCGCAAGCAUUAAUCGGAAUUACUGGGCGUAAAGGGCGCGUAGGCGGUUAUGUAAGUCAGAUGUGAAAUUUCGCGGCUCAACUGCGAAGCCGCAUUUGAAACUACAAAACUAGAGGUAUGGCGGAGAAAACGGAAUUCCACGUGUAGCGGUGAAAUGCGUAGAUAUGUGGAGGAACACCGGUGGCGAAAGCGGUUUUCUAGCUUUAACCUGACGCUGAGGCGCGAGAGCAAGGGGAGCAAACAGG